UGCAAGGUAGCAAUAUUUUGCAGUUGGAGCGGCGCAAGGGUGCGUAACACGUGGGUAAUCUGCCAGGAAGUCUGGAAUAACUUGCUGAAAGGCGAGCUAAUACCGGAUGUGACCAAUGGGGAGCAUUUCUCGUUGGUUAAAGUUGGGGACCGCAAGGCCUGACGCUUCCUGAUGAGCCCGCGGCCUAUCAGCUAGUUGGUGAGGUAACGGCUCACCAAGGCAAAGACGGGUAGCUGGUCUGAGAGGACGACCAGCCACACUGGAACUGAGACACGGUCCAGACACCUACGGGUGGCAGCAGUCGAGAAUUUUUCACAAUGGGGGAAACCCUGAUGGAGCGACGCCGCGUGGGGGAUGAAUGGCUUCGGCCCGUAAACCCCUGUCAUUUGCGAUCAACCGUUAGUAUUUAAAAGAUGCUGACCUGAUGGUAGCGAAAGAGGAAGGGACGGCUAACUCUGUGCCAGCAGCCGCGGUAAUACAGAGGUCCCGAGCGUUGUUCGGAUUCACUGGGCGUAAAGGGUGCGUAGGUGGUGGGGUAAGUCGGAUGUGAAAUCUCGGAGCUCAACUCCGAAACGGCAUUGGAAACUGCCCUGCUAGAGGUUUGGAGGGGGGACUGGAAUUCUCGGUGUAGCA
RNAcentral lists this ribosomal RNA (633 nucleotides) under uncultured Verrucomicrobiota bacterium. Its description in RNAcentral is "bacterial SSU rRNA". It matches the Rfam family "Bacterial small subunit ribosomal RNA", at positions 70 to 680 of the family's 1533-position model. Lineage: Bacteria; Pseudomonadati; Verrucomicrobiota. The record is from RNAcentral.